Molecule: ribosomal RNA, 506 nt
Filed under: uncultured bacterium
Lineage: Bacteria
Description: partial 16S ribosomal RNA
Rfam family: Bacterial small subunit ribosomal RNA
Source: RNAcentral
GACGAACGCUGGCGGCAGGCCUAACACAUGCAAGUCGAGCGGCAGCGGAAAGUAGCUUGCUACUUUGCCGGCGAGCGGCGGACGGGUGAGUAAUGUCUGGGAAACUGCCUGAUGGAGGGGGAUAACUACUGGAAACGGUAGCUAAUACCGCAUAACGUCGCAAGACCAAAGAGGGGGACCUUCGGGCCUCUUCCCAUCAGAUGUGCCCAGAUGGGAUUAGCUAGUAGGUGGGGUAACGGCUCACCUAGGCGACGAUCCCUAGCUGGUCUGAGAGGAUGACCAGCCACACUGGAACUGAGACAAGGUCCAAACUCCUAGGGGAGGCAGCAGUUGGGAAUAUUGCACAAUGGGCGCAAGCCUGAUGCAGCCAUGCCGCGUGUAUGAAGAAGGCCUUCGGGUUGUAAAGUACUUUCAGCGGGGAGGAAGGUGUUGAGGUUAAUAACCUCAGCAAUUGACGUUACCCGCAGAAGAAGCACCGGCUAACUCCGUGCCAGCAGCCGCCGUAA